Long non-coding RNA from Coturnix japonica (Japanese quail), 377 nucleotides. RefSeq lists it as uncharacterized. Lineage: Eukaryota; Metazoa; Chordata; Aves; Galliformes; Phasianidae. The record is from RefSeq and is a predicted model, not a curated record.
UGCCCUAGGAACACCUGUACCUCGCAGCUGAUUUGGCCUUUAUUUGGUUCUCACAGGGUCUGUCCCAGGUUUGCAGGGAUGGAUGCCAGCACUGCUCCUGUCCUCUCCACCCCUACGUGUUGAAAGGAGGACUCUGUGGCUCCAGUUGGCUGCUGGAUCGAGGACUGCAUUAGCAUUGACCUCAGGAGAGCCCACGCAACAAAUAAUGGCUUUAAAUAAUGGCUUUCUUCCCCGGGAGCAGACUUCAGAGAGGAGUUUCCUGCUGCUGUGUUCCUGCCCACCCUCUGAUGCUGCAGGGGCCCCCUGAUGCCAGGACGUCACUCUGGAAGGGUUCCUAUUGUGGAAACUUUUCUCACCAGCUGCUUUGUGAUGUGCCG